This 105-nucleotide ribosomal RNA is filed under the name Tannerella forsythia. Lineage: Bacteria; Pseudomonadati; Bacteroidota; Bacteroidia; Bacteroidales; Tannerellaceae. The record is from RNAcentral.
GGUGGUUAUAGCACGAGGGAUCCACCUCUUUCCAUUCCGAACAGAGAAGUUAAGCCUCGUCACGCCGAUGGUACUGCUAUAUUGUGGGAGAGUAGGUAGCCGCCG